CCUACGUGAGGCUGCAGUGGGGGAUAUUGCACAAUGGGGGGAACCCUGAUGCCGCGACGCCGCGUGGGUGAAGCAUCGCCUCGGCGCGUAAAGCCCUGUCAGCAGGGAAGAAAAUGACGGUACCUGACGAAGAAGCCCCGGCUAACUCCGUGCCAGCAGCCGCGGUAAUACGUAGGGGGCAAGCGUUAUCCGGAUUUACUUGGGUAAAGGGGGGCGCAGACGGCGAUGCAAGCCAGGAGUGAAAGCCCGGGGCCCAACCCCGGGACUGCUCUUGGAACUGCGUGGCUGGAGUGCAGGAGGGGCAGGAGGAAUUCCUGGUGGAGCGGUGAAAUGCGUAGAUAGCAGGAGGAACACCGGUGGCGAAGGCGGCCUGCUGGACUGCAACUGACGUUGAGGCCCGAAAGCGUGGGGAGCAAACAGGAUUAGAUACCCGAGUAGUC
RNAcentral lists this ribosomal RNA (440 nucleotides) under uncultured bacterium. RNAcentral's name for it is "partial 16S ribosomal RNA". It matches the Rfam family "Bacterial small subunit ribosomal RNA", at positions 338 to 795 of the family's 1533-position model. The record is from RNAcentral.